This 460-nucleotide ribosomal RNA is filed under the name uncultured bacterium. Its description in RNAcentral is "partial 16S ribosomal RNA". It matches the Rfam family "Bacterial small subunit ribosomal RNA", at positions 338 to 795 of the family's 1533-position model. The record is from RNAcentral.
CCUACGGGUGGCAGCAGUGAGGAAUAUUGGUCAAUGGGCGCGAGCCUGAACCAGCCAAGUAGCGUGAAGGAUGACUGCCCUACGGGUUGUCAACUUCUUUUAUAAAGGAAUAAAGUGAGGCACGUGUGCCUUUUUGUAUGUACUUUAUGAAUAAGGAUCGGCUAACUCCGUGCCAGCAGCCGCGGUCAUAAGGAGGAUCCGAGCGUUAUCCUGAUUUAUUGGGUUUAAAGGGAGCGUAGAUGGGUGGGUAAGUCAGUUGUGAAAGUUUGCGGCUAAACCGUAAAAUUGCAAUUGAUACUGGCAGUCUUGAGUACAGUUGAGGUAGGCGGAAUUCGUGGUGUAGCGGUGAAAUGCUUAGAUAUCACGAAGAACUCCGAUUGCGAAGGCAGCUUACUAAACUGACACUGACAUUGAUGCUCGAAAGUGUGGGUAUCAAACAGGAUUAGAUACCCCGGUAGUC